RNAcentral lists this ribosomal RNA (253 nucleotides) under uncultured bacterium. Its description in RNAcentral is "partial 16S ribosomal RNA". It matches the Rfam family "Bacterial small subunit ribosomal RNA", at positions 524 to 776 of the family's 1533-position model. The record is from RNAcentral.
UACGAAGGGUGCAAGCGUUACUCGGAAUUACUGGGCGUAAAGGGUGCGUAGGUGGUUUGUUAAGUCUGCUGUGAAAUCCCCGGGCUCAACCUGGGAAUGGCAGUGGAUACUGGCAAGCUAGAGUGCGGUAGAGGGUAGUGGAAUUCCCGGUGUAGCAGUGAAAUGCGUAGAGAUCGGGAGGAACACCAGUGGCGAAGGCGGCUACCUGGACCAGCACUGACACUGAAGCACGAAAGCUAGGGGAGCAAACAGG